This is a non-coding RNA of Seonamhaeicola sp. S2-3, 47 nucleotides long. The record is from Rfam. NCBI's taxonomy places the organism in Bacteria, Pseudomonadati, Bacteroidota, Flavobacteriia, Flavobacteriales, Flavobacteriaceae.
AAAAAGGAUUUUUUGAAAUCCAUUUUCUUAUUUUUUAAAAGAUCUCU